UACGUAGGGUGCAAGCGUUGUCCGGAAUUAUUGGGCGUAAAGAGCUCGUAGGCGGUUUGUCGCGUCGGCUGUGAAAACCCGGGGCUCAACCCCGGGCCUGCAGUCGAUACGGGCAAACUAGAGUGCGGUAGGGGAGACUGGAAUUCCUGGUGUAGCGGUGAAAUGCGCAGAUAUCAGGAGGAACACCGGUGGCGAAGGCGGGUCUCUGGGCCGUUACUGACGCUGAGGAGCGAAAGCGUGGGGAGCGAACAGG
Molecule: ribosomal RNA, 253 nt
Filed under: uncultured bacterium
Lineage: Bacteria
Description: partial 16S ribosomal RNA
Rfam family: Bacterial small subunit ribosomal RNA
Source: RNAcentral